GUGCCAGCCGCCGCGGUAAGACGAACCGUGCGAACGUUAUUCGGAAUCACUGGGCUUAAAGCGCGUGUAGGCGGGCCGGCGCGUCCGUGGCUGAAAUCCCCCGGCUCAACCGGUGAAGGGGCGCGGAUACGGCCGGCCUGGAGGGGGGUAGGGGGCGCCGGAACUCACGGUGGAGCGGUGAAAUGCGUAGAGAUCGGUAGGAACACCAGUGGCGAAGGCGGUCUCCUGGGGCAUUCUUGACGCUGAGACGCGAAAGCUGGGGGAGCGAACGGGAUUAGAUACCCCAGUAGUCC
RNAcentral lists this ribosomal RNA (293 nucleotides) under uncultured bacterium. RNAcentral describes it as "partial 16S ribosomal RNA". It matches the Rfam family "Bacterial small subunit ribosomal RNA", at positions 505 to 796 of the family's 1533-position model. The record is from RNAcentral.